Molecule: long non-coding RNA, 1526 nt
Filed under: Eucalyptus grandis
Lineage: Eukaryota; Viridiplantae; Streptophyta; Magnoliopsida; Myrtales; Myrtaceae
Description: long non-coding RNA (EGRA_LNC003291)
Source: RNAcentral
CCUGGGGCAAGCCUAGCUUCAUUUCCUUUUCUCCAAGCCCAGCCCGCGUGCUGUUCUUCUUCAUCCUCACGCCGGUCACGCCUCUGGAAAAAGAAGAGUACAGGUCAGAGAGAGGAUAGGAUGGCGAGCAGCAGAGAGCAGCAGAGGGCAGCGGGAUUCGCGUGUCGGGGCCAGGCCGAACAGCGAGCUGGUGAUGGCAGAAGCCAUGUGCACUGGCCGGGUGCCUUCAAAAGAGAGCGUGACCCCGAUAGAGAGGGGGAGGAGGAGAGGAGCGAGCGAUUGAGAGAGUGAGCGAGAGGGAGCUCGAGAGAGCUCGAGAGAGAGACAGAGUGCUCCGCCAUCGUAGGUGGCCCCUCCGUUAGCCACGGUCCGCCGCGGCACCCCCACCGAGCUAAACCAGGUAGGUUUUCUCGGGUCAUGCAUGCUCUUUUUUGUAGGGCGCCGGACCGCAGCUCGUGACCGGCCCGUUCGCACGAGCUUCGGUUCCUCCGGCCCCCGUAGGUCUUUAGUCAAGUCUCUGUUGUUUUUGGUCGUUUUUCGAGAAUCCUAGUACCAUUUCGAGUCCCGGUUGAGUUGGAAAUCUUAACAUUUUCGUAAAAGCUCGCGAACUGUUCGUAUAAAUGCCUGAGUGAAGCCCGCAUGACUAUCCUUGAACCUACGUCCAUUAUAGGCGGCCACCGUUGUUAGAUGUGUUUUGUCGCUGUUUUACACGCUUUUGUUUCGUCCAUUUCGAGUUUACAUUGUCGUGAUUUGGGCUUAUUAUUGCGCAAGUUGUGUCCCGUCUUCCUCCUUAUGAGUAUAGGUGAGAGAGUGGGUGUCGGCUCGGCCAUGGCCUAAGCGCGGGCGGUGUCGGUGCCAGCGACAAAGGGUGGUGAGGCUCGUUUAAAAUGGCGUUGGUUUGGUCGAUGAGUUUCGGUGGAAAAGAGUGUAGGAGAGAAGGUGGCUUCGGGCGUGCAGAGAACGCACGAAGAAGAAGACCAGAAGAAGGAAAGAAAAAAUUAAAAAAAAAUUAAAAAUUAGAGGCACAUAAGGGUGAUCAAUCUUGAUCUCUUAUUUAUUCCAGCAAUUGAAAUUUGCUCAUGCCCCUGUUGGUCAACUCAACAUUUGUUUAGGCAAUAUUAAGCUCUUUUAGUUAUCGUCUUAAAGUAACAGUGUUGUCCUAGAGGUUCUUUGGAUGCAAUGUAGCCUUAGGAUCUGGAACUAAGAGUUUAGCGAUGAGCACUUAGAAAGAGAACAUAUUUUAUGUGUAGACGAGUUUAAGAGCUUAAGUUGAUUUAGACAUGUUGUAAAGUAAAACUAACUAGUGGACAAAUGAAAGAUGUUUGUUUGAACUAUUAGUGAGCCAUUUUUUUUUUUUUUUGCUGUGGAUCUGCAUCUAAUGUGAAGUAAGUUUCUCAAUCUGAGUAUCUAUGUGCAGUUUGAGCUUGAUGAAGAGUUUGAAGAACUUUUUAACUUCAAUGAAGAUCUUUUGUGUUCAUGGAAGGGGAACUUUCAAGGUUUAGCAAGACAUCACCAAUUUGGAAGCU